ACAAGCAGUGAUAUGAGAGGACGCACAGAGAGGGAGGAGCAACACUGACAAAGAGCAGAGCAGAAAAGACCUCCUGCUGUGCUGCAUUCAAUAUCUACAGCAGACCUCAGAUAGUGUCUGUAAGAUGUUCCCUCUGCGUCACGCUGGAGUCUGGCCUUUGUUUCUCUUCAUCCUGAAAGGUGUCAGCUGUGAUGAACUGACUCCAGACCAGACUGCAGAGUUCAGUGUAGAAGGCAGCUCUGUUACUCUGUCCUACAAUUUCUCCAGGACAAUAACUGGUAAUGAUUAUUUCUUCUGGUAUCGACAGAAUCCAGGACAAGCUCCAGAGUUCCUCCUGUACAUCUCAGGGUUCAAUGUGACAAGAAGUUGACGUUGGUAAUAGUGAUGCAACGAUUUCCACUCAUCAUCAGGUUUAUAAAACAUGAUCAUCUCAUGUUUCCAAACCUUGAAGAGGGGAUCCAUCUUUUCACCACCUCAGUUACCUUUGUUGAAGUUCAGGUUGAACAAGAUCCCUCAAAUACAAAUCCCAGCUGCAGCUUGAACAAACUGUUGCUCCCAGUGUGGAGGAAGAGAAAGUCCAGAUCUAAGAGGAGACGCAGAGAU
Pleuronectes platessa (European plaice) is the source of this 603-nucleotide non-coding RNA. The record is from the annotation of a RefSeq genome assembly. NCBI's taxonomy places the organism in Eukaryota, Metazoa, Chordata, Actinopteri, Pleuronectiformes, Pleuronectidae.